Long non-coding RNA from Gallus gallus (chicken), 3641 nucleotides. Lineage: Eukaryota; Metazoa; Chordata; Aves; Galliformes; Phasianidae. The record is from Ensembl.
UGAAGUUCUGAUUGUUUGUUGUCAAAGAGUUUCAGUUUUGUGAUGAAAGAUGUGACCUUUCUUGGCAGCAAGAGUCCUUUCUGAUUGAUUAGUAAACAUGAGCAGGUAAGACGAGGAUAGAGCACUUGCUCAGAGGAUGGUUUUUCACUUGGCACUGCUGUGCCCGGGACCAGGCUCCAAAAGCAAGCACAAGGGAACUCGUUAAGUACAACAGGAUGCGAUUAGUCCCACAUGGGGAGCUCAUGUGUUAUAUCAAAAGAAACAACAACCAGCUGGUAGAACUACUUACAUCAAGGAAAGGAAUGGUGAGGAGGAGAGCUGAGGAGAGCAGUGACCACCAGGAGAGCGAGUACUGGGUAUGAGACAAGAAGCUUUUGGAUCUACGUGGGCAUGACUGCACCCCGGUCAAGGGGACAACGUGACACACAAAGGAGGUGACCCUGCAGCGUGACAGAUCUGAAUGCACGGAGUACAGAUGGAGCAUCUCCGAGGGAUGUGGUCUGAGGAAUCACAAGUGAAAUUGAUGAGAACUUGAUGCAACACCAAGCACUUUUAUCAGAAUUUCAAUGGAAAUUCCAAGCAAAGCAGGUUGGAUGACAAGCACAUGAACACCGACCUUGGGAAGAGCAACUGUGAGUGUGGGGAAGCUUUUAACACAGAAAAGAACUGUGGAAAAAUGAAGAUAGGUAGCAAAAACUGGAUUCAUGGUGGCCUUCCCAUUGAUAGGAAUUUCUCUGCAUGAGGAUGCCCUAGGAUGCAUGCUGGCAGCUCAGUGCAACACACGGCAGGGGUGUGCACCGCAGGACAUUUCCCCAUGCAAGUCUGUUCUGGAAGGGCAAUAUUUCACCUGAGAGAACAGGCUAAGAGAACAUGCACUUUGCAAGUGCAAAAAGAAGCGUAAGACCCUCUAAAUGUCUGGCCCCAGGCAAUCUGUUUCCUUUCACAGGACCGCUCUUGAAGCAGAUCUGCAAGGACUUAUCGCUUCCAUCUGCGCCACAGAGACAAGGGCACCGUUCUCACCCCAGUUCCACACAGACAUCCCAGAAUUGCCGACAGCCGCUGCGGCCCCAUAGCAAAAUAUUCCUGCAUGUCUCAGCAAGCUUUCCAAGCUGUGCACGCGGGGACGUGCAGCCACACACACGCCCUGUGCAGGUGGCUCCUGGGAACCCAACCGUGAGCUCUCCUUGUUGGGAAAUGGAGAACCUUCCUCCAUUUCAGCAGCUCCUCUACCAAAUUGCACCCCCCAAAAUACAGCUGGGAGAUACACGCAUAUUCAGUUCUGGGGCCUCCAACGCAAGAAGGUUAUGGAGCUGUUGGAGAGGGCUCAGAGGAGGGCCACAAAGAUGAUCAGAGAGCUGGAGCACCUUCCCUAUGGGGACAGGCUAAGAGAGCUGGGGCUCUUCAGCCUGGAGAAGAGAAGGCUCCAGGGGGACUUUAUAGCGGCCUUCCAGGACCUGAAGAGGGCCUACAGGAAAGAUGGGGAGGGACUUUUUAUAAGGGCAGGUAGUGACAGGAUGAGUGGAAACAGUUUUAAACUGGAAGUGGGUAGAUUGAGGCUGGAUAUCAGGAUGAAAUUCUUUACUGUGAGGGUGGUAAGACACAGGAACAGGUUGCCCAGUGAAGCUGUGGAUGACCCCUCCCCAGAGGUGUUCAAGCCCAGGUUGGAUGGGGCUGUGAGCAACCUAGUCUAGAGGGAGGUGUUCCUGCCUAUAGCAGGAGAGUUGAAACUAGAUGAUCUUAAAUGUCUCUUCCAACCCCAAACUGUUCUGUGAUUCUCUCCAGAUGCAUGUUGGUGGUAGGACAUAAGUGCUGCACAGCCCCUUCCAGGAGCACCUGGAGAUGCUUCCAGAAGACUCUGCCUGGACACAGUGUGCUGCUUGACCACAUCUGCCUGUUGUAAAGCGAAGUACCUAAAGCAAGCCAAAUUCAUGGAAGGCGAAGCACUUAUUUAGUGCAAUUUAGCAGUCACCUGUGCACCUGGGAAAUCUGCUUGGUGCUAAAGGUUUGCCUGAGCCCUGGUUCUGUGAGGAUAAAUGAGAACGUGUGUUGGGCAAGAGCAGCAGGAGGCAGCCAGAUCUGCACUGAGCUAACCUCAUCCCACCCAGUAUGCAAGAAAUGUAUCUGUGAAGAACUACUCGUACAACUGUGUUCAUCAGCAAAGACUUACAUUAGUGCACAGCUUCCAUUACGCCUAACUGAAACCAAAGAGAGUCAGCUCGUCUUGGACUUCAUAGCAGAGCCCAGUGAGGAUGAAAGAUCACCCCUUGUUAACAGCAAGGGGCUCAUAGGAGACUGGUGUCAGCAGCAGCAAAAAGGAAGGAGAGCGAGGCGUGCAGGAGCAGAGCAGACAUCCUUCUCACCAUCUCUUCCACGACUGUUGAACUGCUUCCUCUAAGAGAUUAAGAUGACGACCUGUCCUGCUGUCUCCGGGCUGGGAGAUAAGGUCUAUCUCUGCAUCCCAACUGUCCUCGCUGGGGAACUGCAAGGAGUGGUGCUGACAGGAGUGCAGCAAGGGAGGAGAUGGGGAGAGCAGUGAGCAGCAAAUGGAAAAUUCUGGCACUGCGGGGCUGAGCGAGAGUGUCACUGCUGACAUCACUAAAAGUAGGAUCAAACCUGAUCUAAAAAGCAAUUUGGAAUAUGAGCUUUUCUUUCCAAAUGAGCGGUAAGUGCCUUCCUUCACACGGAAUCCGGUGCAGUAAUAGUGGCUUCUAUUACACUUUAAAUUGAUUGGCUUUAUGGCCCAGAACUGGGGAAUUGCCCUAGCCUGAUCUCGGCGGGCUCAUGUUUCUAAUUCUGGCAACUCUAAAUCCGGAUGCCCUGAAAAUCCGUGCUGUUGCUUACAGUGUGUGCUGUUAUCUCCAUUUUCAUGUGUCCGGGCAAAAUAAAGGAGCCGGGAUGCACAGAAGAUUGGCCAAAAGGUGAAAAGGAAACCAGGAAAGCAAGCUAGCGAGUGCAGAAGGAAAAGUUUACAUGCAGAGUUCAUCCAUGUAUAAUCUUGAAUGAUUAUUAGAGAAUGGCUUGGGUUGGAAGGAACCUCCAUGAUCAUCCACUUCCAACCCCAUGCUAUAGACUGGUUGCCAACUGCUAGACCAGGCUGUGCACAGUCCCAACCAGCCUGGCCAUGAAUGCCUCCUUUGUAUUUGCAUUAUCCAAGACCUUUUGUAUGAGAGCGAGGUAGCAUCUCUGUGUCCUUCCAUUGGGGUCUGAAGGACAUGGAUGGAGAGAUGCAGACACCACCACGCUUCUGAGCCCACGUCAAUCCUUUGCACGGCCUGUGUGCAGCCCCAUUUAGGACAUCAGAACCUGUAUUUGUGCCACCAGGUUAAAAAAUAGCCCCACUGAAAGGAAAAGCUUAACAAGGUGCAGCACAUCGGCAUGAAGGAAAGAGCAGCUGAUGGGCUGCAGAGUGACUUGGAGGAGCUCCCACCCUGUGCUGGAGCAGAGCUCAUAACUCCGGCUCACACGGAGGACGUGCCCUGGGGGAAUUAUUCUACCUUUGAUCCGCACACGAAAUCCCAGCUGCUGUCAGAGGAGCCGUGCAUGCCUAACCACGGCUGUACAUCAUCCUAAUAAAGGCCAAAGAGAAGCUCAUAUAUAAAUGGAGUGCAAAGUUUUUUGACACUGGCUCUAAUAAAUAUCAG